CAUGUUGGGAUGAUGGAGAAUGCAGAAUGGUACAUGUUGGGGACGAUGGAAAAUGAAGAACAGGGAGGGAGAAGGGGUUUGGGGACAUUUUUGACAUUUCACAAUUGAAAAUUAAGAAAAAAUCGCAGUAGCAGCGCGUGAGAGACACGAUUUGCUCUCAGGGGUCACAAUGCCUUGACUUUGUUUACACAGGGGGGUAUGAGCGAAUUAUUUUUUGACAGGGGGGUAUUUGACAAUUAGAGAUUUCACA
Molecule: long non-coding RNA, 250 nt
Filed under: Erythranthe guttata (spotted monkey flower)
Lineage: Eukaryota; Viridiplantae; Streptophyta; Magnoliopsida; Lamiales; Phrymaceae
Description: long non-coding RNA (EGUT_LNC001380)
Source: RNAcentral